Molecule: ribosomal RNA, 426 nt
Filed under: uncultured bacterium
Lineage: Bacteria
Description: bacterial SSU rRNA
Rfam family: Bacterial small subunit ribosomal RNA
Source: RNAcentral
UGGGGAAUUUUGGACAAUGGGCGAAAGCCUGAUCCAGCCAUGCCGCGUGAGUGAAGAAGGCCUUCGGGUUGUAAAGCUCUUUUAGUCGGAAAGAAAGAGUUGCAAUGAAUAAUUGUGAUUUAUGACGGUACCGACAGAAAAAGCACCGGCUAACUACGUGCCAGCAGCCGCGGUAAUACGUAGGGUGCGAGCGUUAAUCGGAAUUACUGGGCGUAAAGGGUGCGCAGGCGGUCUUGCAAGUCAGAUGUGAAAGCCCCGGGCUUAACCUGGGAAUUGCGUUUGAAACUACAAGGCUAGAGUGCAGCAUAGGGGAGUGGAAUUCCAUGUGUAGCAGUGAAAUGCGUAGAGAUGUGGAAGAACACCGAUGGCGAAGGCAGCUCCCUGGGUUGACACUGACGCUCAUGCACGAAAGCGUGGGGAGCAAAC